This 1010-nucleotide long non-coding RNA is filed under the name Apteryx owenii (little spotted kiwi). Its description in RNAcentral is "lncRNA (ENSAOWG00000008091.1)". Lineage: Eukaryota; Metazoa; Chordata; Aves; Apterygiformes; Apterygidae. The record is from RNAcentral.
CUGCCUCUGAUGCAUGCACCUCCCAGCCCGCUCUCCGCGGCUCUCUCCCUAUUUAAAGGCUGAUGUGGUGUUUAAAUGGAGAGGCGGUGACGUGGGGCUGGAAAGCACCUUCCCAUCCAGGCAGAGUCUAUAUUAGAGAGCGGCAAUAGCUCUAUAUAAACAGGGCAGCCGCAGGGAGGAGGAACACAAGGCGCAGGCAGGCAGAAAGGCAGGGCGGCCAUGAUGGAUCCCGCGCCACCAGCCAGGGGCCAAGCCCGCCCGGAUUCCCCUCCCGCUGCUCAACUGCGAUGAGGUUCUGACAACAACAAAAACAGUGCUGGCUCUGAUCCAUGAAGCCUAACAACAAAGAACACAGUCUUUCUAGAGAGGAACAGUGAGCAUGACGCUGGCGGGUCAGAGGAGAUCCUCUUGACUUCAGGGUGUUUGCAGAGCCAUAAAGCUUGGCUAUGGUGUCAGUGCAACCAGACCUCCCACAGACAUGCAAAGGAGCUGCAAAGGCAAAUGCCACCAUGGCUUACUCUGCAGACCCUGCUGAUGAAACCCCACUGAUGAAACUAGGCUCUCACCUGCUUACUAAAGGGCUGGAGGAAAAUAUGCAAAAAGUUGAACACUGAGUGAGCCAACUCCUUUGGGUCUGCAGAUCAGAGCUGGAAAUCUCCUUAACUGUUUCUUUCACAAAGCUCACACUUCAUCAGCAAUAUCUCAGAACACAUUCAAGUCUGUUUUGUUGAUUUUCUUGCUCGUCCUUCUCAGAAACUGUACCAUAAAAGCAGCAGAGAAAAACAUGAAGAAUACCCAGAAGUUCUUUGAAUGAUUUUGUACUGCAAACAAUUAAUGAAAAGAAAGAACAGUGAGAAGACAAGUGAAUUUUGUACAGAGGAGUUGCCAUGAAAUUCAUCAUAGCCCGCCUGUAACAGAGCUGAGAGCAUGAAUUCAGAUCUUUGCUGUUACACAUUUCAGGACCUAUUUAAAUUAUUAAUUAAUAAAUAAUAAUAAUUAACACUUUAUCA